Long non-coding RNA from Capsicum annuum, 1066 nucleotides. RefSeq lists it as uncharacterized. The record is from RefSeq and is a predicted model, not a curated record. The transcript is spliced from 2 exons. Lineage: Eukaryota; Viridiplantae; Streptophyta; Magnoliopsida; Solanales; Solanaceae.
CUACACUGUUUAUAUAACCAACCAAACCCAUCCCCCAUCCCUACCCGACAUCCCCACACAGUUUAUACAACCCACCCCAACCCCAACCCCAACCUUUCCGCCUCCCCAAUAAAAAAAAAAAAGAAUAAAAUGGUUACUUAGAGAAGAAACUUUGUGUUCUCUAUAAAAUUUCUCAGCCUAAUUACGAUUUGAUAGAGAACAGGUCUUGAAUCAAGAUUCAAAUCCAAAUUAGAUCCAUGGAAUCCUGUGGUCUUUGAUGGUACAAACCUUUCUCUCAAAAGGACUUAAUUAGCUCAAUAGUGCUAAGUAAUUACCAAAUUCAUGUAGCAACGAUUACUUGAGGAAUUUACUAUAUUUCUAAUGAUCUUCAUAAACAUUUUUCUGAAAAGAUUGGCAGGGCCACAAGACCAAGGAGUCAGAGGUCUAGCUCAACAUUACUAAGUAGUUACCAAACACCAGGUGCAACCCGUCGGAGGUCCAUUUCAGACCACCAAAAAAUAUUUUUCUGAUCUUUCAAGUGUUGUGAAUCCUCCAUCCCUCUAAUUUUUCCUCCGGCGAAGUUGAAAUUUUGACCGCCGCCGAUCCUCCGUCGUUCUCCGAGACAUUGUCGGCAGUGAAAACUAAAACAAAGGUCAGCAAAGUAGAAGUUUGCAUCAAUGGUGGAACAGCUGUUUAUCAAGUUCAUCGAUGUUAUAGUUAUGGAGCUUUAUCGAAACAAUAGUCUUGUGAGGUUGAUCCUCUGUGAUGGUUUCGUCAGAGCCCGUCGAAGAUGGAAGCUCGUGGAUUACUAGUUAACGGAAUCUGAUGGAGUGAGAUUUCUCUGGUGGGUGAGUAAGCUGAAAGAAGAAUGGUGAGGUUAAUUAUUUGGUCUGAAGAAUAUGCGAAGAAGAAGAAGUGAAGAAAAAGAUGCAGAGAGGAAGAGAAAGCUAUAUUUUUGGUAAACCAAAUGGCGUCUACUUUUCUGGUAAAAUAAAUGACCAAGUAGUUACUUGGUGUAAUUAUCCCUUAUGCAAACGCAUAUUAUAUGCAACAUUUAUUCAGUUUUUAUAAACAUCAUAUACGAAAA